CUACGGGAGGCAGCAGUGGGGAAUAUUGGACAAUGGGCGAAAGCCUGAUCCAGCGAUUCUGCGUGGAGGAUGAAGCAUUACGGUGUGUAAACUCCUUUUCUGGUGGAAGACGAAUGACGGUACACCAGGAAUAAGCACCGGCUAACUCCGUGCCAGCAGCCGCGGUAAU
RNAcentral lists this ribosomal RNA (169 nucleotides) under uncultured bacterium. Its description in RNAcentral is "partial 16S ribosomal RNA". It matches the Rfam family "Bacterial small subunit ribosomal RNA", at positions 339 to 524 of the family's 1533-position model. The record is from RNAcentral.